This 1353-nucleotide ribosomal RNA is filed under the name uncultured bacterium. RNAcentral describes it as "bacterial SSU rRNA". It matches the Rfam family "Bacterial small subunit ribosomal RNA", at positions 40 to 1381 of the family's 1533-position model. The record is from RNAcentral.
CUAAAGGCUUAACACAUGCAAGUUCGUAGGGGCAGCAUUUUUAGUUUUGCUUCGCAAACCGAAAGUUGGCGACCGGCGCACGGGUGAGUAACACGUAUCCAACCUGCCGAUAACUCCGGGAUAGCCUUUCGAAAGAAAGAUUAAUACCGGAUAGUAUACGAAUAUCGCAUGAUAUUUUUAUUAAAGAAUUUCGGUUAUCGAUGGGGAUGCGUUCCAUUAGUUUGUUGGCGGGGUAACGGCCCACCAAGACUACGAUGGAUAGGGGUUCUGAGAGGAAGGUCCCCCACAUUGGAACUGAGACACGGUCCAAACUCCUACGGGAGGCAGCAGUGAGGAAUAUUGGUCAAUGGGCGCGAGCCUGAACCAGCCAAGUAGCGUGAAGGAUGAAGGCUCUAUGGGUCGUAAACUUCUUUUAUAUGGGAAUAAAGUUUUCCACGUGUGGAAUUUUGUAUGUACCAUAUGAAUAAGGAUCGGCUAACUCCGUGCCAGCAGCCGCGGUAAUACGGAGGAUCCGAGCGUUAUCCGGAUUUAUUGGGUUUAAAGGGAGCGUAGGUGGAUUGUUAAGUCAGUUGUGAAAGUUUGCGGCUCAACCGUAAAAUUGCAGUUGAAACUGGCAGUCUUGAGUACAGUAGAGGUGGGCGGAAUUCGUGGUGUAGCGGUGAAAUGCUUAGAUAUCACGAAGAACUCCGAUUGCGAAGGCAGCUCACUAGACUGUCACUGACACUGAUGCUCGAAAGUGUGGGUAUCAAACAGGAUUAGAUACCCUGGUAGUCCACACAGUAAACGAUGAAUACUCGCUGUUUGCGAUAUACAGUAAGCGGCCAAGCGAAAGCAUUAAGUAUUCCACCUGGGGAGUACGCCGGCAACGGUGAAACUCAAAGGAAUUGACGGGGGCCCGCACAAGCGGAGGAACAUGUGGUUUAAUUCGAUGAUACGCGAGGAACCUUACCCGGGCUUAAAUUGCAUUUGAAUAUAUUGGAAACAGUAUAGCCGUAAGGCAAAUGUGAAGGUGCUGCAUGGUUGUCGUCAGCUCGUGCCGUGAGGUGUCGGCUUAAGUGCCAUAACGAGCGCAACCCUUAUCUUUAGUUACUAACAGGUCAUGCUGAGGACUCUAGAGAGACUGCCGUCGUAAGAUGUGAGGAAGGUGGGGAUGACGUCAAAUCAGCACGGCCCUUACGUCCGGGGCUACACACGUGUUACAAUGGGGGGUACAGAAGGCAGCUACCUGGUGACAGGAUGCUAAUCCCAAAAGCCUCUCUCAGUUCGGAUCGAAGUCUGCAACCCGACUUCGUGAAGCUGGAUUCGCUAGUAAUCGCGCAUCAGCCAUGGCGCGGUGAAUACGUUCCCGGGCCU